Molecule: ribosomal RNA, 422 nt
Filed under: uncultured Glomeromycotina
Lineage: Eukaryota; Fungi; Glomeromycota
Description: SSU rRNA
Rfam family: Eukaryotic small subunit ribosomal RNA
Source: RNAcentral
GGUACGUACUGGCAUUGUUGGUUUCUCCCUUCUGACGAACCAUGAUGUCAUUUAUUUGGUGUUGUGGGGAAUCAGGACUGUUACUUUGAAAAAAUUAGAGUGAUUAAAGCAGGCUCACGCUUGAAUACAUUAGCAUGGAAUAAUGAAAUAGGACGUUUGAUUCUAUUUUGUUGGUUUCUAGGAUCGACGUAAUGAUUAAUAGGGAUAGUCGGGGGCAUUAGUAUUCAAUUGUCAGAGGUGAAAUUCUUGGAUUUAUUGAAGACUAACUACUGCGAAAGCAUUUGCCAAGGAUGUUUUCAUUAAUCAAGAACGAAAGUUAGGGGAUCGAAGACGAUCAGAUACCGUCGUAGUCUUAACCAUAAACUAUGCCGACUAGGGAUCGGAUGAUGUUAAUUUUUUAAUGACUCAUUCGGCGCCUUACG